This 419-nucleotide ribosomal RNA is filed under the name bacterium. Its description in RNAcentral is "partial 16S ribosomal RNA". It matches the Rfam family "Bacterial small subunit ribosomal RNA", at positions 355 to 776 of the family's 1533-position model. The record is from RNAcentral.
UGGGGGAUAUUGCACAAUGGGCGAAAGCCUGAUGCAGCGACGCCGCGUGGGGGAUGAAGGCCUUCGGGUUGUAAACUUCUUUUGCUCUGAACAAGGCAUGCUAAUGGGUGUGUUGAGUGUCGGGGUUGAUUAGCGCCGGCUAACUACGUGCCAGCAGCCGCGGUAAUACGUAGGGCGCGAGCGUUGUCCGGAAUUAUUGGGCGUAAAGGGCUUGUAGGUGGCUGGUUGCGUCUGUCGUGAAAGCUCAUGGCUUAACUGUGGGUUUGCGGUGGGUACGGGCUGGCUUGAGUGCAGUAGGGGAGGCUGGAAUUCCUGGUGUAGCGGUGGAAUGCGCAGAUAUCAGGAGGAAUACCGGUGGCGAAGGCGGGUCUCUGGGCUGUUACUGACACUGAGGAGCGAAAGCAUGGGGAGCGAACAGG